The sequence is a vault RNA, 96 nucleotides long. Its record names the gene Vault. It matches the Rfam family "Vault RNA". From Rfam's summary of the family: This family of RNAs are found as part of the enigmatic vault ribonucleoprotein complex. The record is from Ensembl.
ACACUGGUUUAGCUCAGUGGUUACUUCAAUAUUCUACGAUACAGAAUCAGAUUGUCCCCACGUGGGAUCGAACCCCGGGCGCUGUCCAGUGUUUUU